AAAUUGAAGAGUUUGAUCAUGGCUCAGAUUGAACGCUGGCGGCAGGCCUAACACAUGCAAGUCGAACGGUAACAGGAAACAGCUUGCUGUUUCGCUGACGAGUGGCGGACGGGUGAGUAAUGUCUGGGAAACUGCCUGAUGGAGGGGGAUAACUACUGGAAACGGUAGCUAAUACCGCAUAACGUCGCAAGACCAAAGAGGGGGACCCUCGGGCCUCUUGCCAUCGGAUGUGCCCAGAUGGGAUUAGCUUGU
Molecule: ribosomal RNA, 252 nt
Filed under: Escherichia coli
Lineage: Bacteria; Pseudomonadati; Pseudomonadota; Gammaproteobacteria; Enterobacterales; Enterobacteriaceae
Description: partial 16S ribosomal RNA
Rfam family: Bacterial small subunit ribosomal RNA
Source: RNAcentral